Molecule: ribosomal RNA, 405 nt
Filed under: uncultured bacterium
Lineage: Bacteria
Description: bacterial SSU rRNA
Rfam family: Bacterial small subunit ribosomal RNA
Source: RNAcentral
UAGGGAAUAUUGGGCAAUGGGCGAAAGCCUGACCCAGCAACGCCGCGUGUGCGAUGAAGGCCUUCGGGUCGUAAAGCACUUUUCUGAGGAAUGAGAAAGGACAGUACCUCAGGAAUAAGUCUCGGCUAACUACGUGCCAGCAGCCGCGGUAAAACGUAGGAGACGAGCGUUAUCCGGAUUUACUGGGCGUAAAGCGUGUGCAGGCGGUUCGGCAAGUUGGAUGUGAAAUCUCCCGGCUCAACUGGGAGGGGUCGUUCAAUACUACCGAACUUGAGGUCAUCAGAGGAAGAUGGAAUUCCCGGUGUAGUGGUGAAAUGCGUAGAUAUCGGGAGGAACACCAGUGGCGAAGGCGGUCUUCUGGGAUGAUCCUGACGCUCAGACACGAAAGCUAGGGGAGCGAACGGG